GACGAACGCUGGCGGCGUGCUUAACACAUGCAAGUCGAACGGAAAGGCCCUGCUUUUGUGGGGUGCUCGAGUGGCGGACGGGUGAGUAACACGUGAGUAACCUGCCCUUGACUUUGGGAUAACUUCAGGAAACUGGGGCUAAUUCCGGAUAGGAGCUCCUGUUGCAUGGUGGGGGUUGGAAAGUUUCGGCGGUUGGGGAUGGACUCGCGGCUUAUCAGCUUGUUGGUGGGGUAGUGGCUUACCAAGGCUUUGACGGGUAGCCGGCCUGAGAGGGUGACCGGCCACAUUGGGACUGCGAUACGGCCCAGACUCCUACGGGAGGCAGCAGUGGGGAAUAUUGCACAAUGGGCGGAAGCCUGAUGCAGCAACGCCGCGUGCGGGAUGACGGCCUUCGGGUUGUAAACCGCUUUCGCCUGUGACGAAGCGUGAGUGACGGUAAUGUGUAAAGAAGCACCGGCUAACUACGUG
Molecule: ribosomal RNA, 468 nt
Filed under: uncultured bacterium
Lineage: Bacteria
Description: partial 16S ribosomal RNA
Rfam family: Bacterial small subunit ribosomal RNA
Source: RNAcentral